AAGCCGAUGAUGAUUUAGUUUAAUUGGAAUUACCGUCUGAUAUUUGAUGACAAAUUUGGCUGACUGAGGCUUACC
This 75-nucleotide small nucleolar RNA is filed under the name Phaseolus vulgaris (common bean). The record is from RNAcentral. Lineage: Eukaryota; Viridiplantae; Streptophyta; Magnoliopsida; Fabales; Fabaceae.